UUAAUACUCCCUCCGUUCCAAAAUUCUUGUCUUAAAUUUGUCAGAAAUUGAUGUAUCUAAAGACUAAAACGUGACUAGAUACAUUCAUAUUAGACAAAUCUAAAACAAGAAUUUUGGGACGAAGGGAGUACACU
Non-coding RNA from Hordeum vulgare subsp. vulgare (domesticated barley), 134 nucleotides. The record is from Rfam. NCBI's taxonomy places the organism in Eukaryota, Viridiplantae, Streptophyta, Magnoliopsida, Poales, Poaceae.